GAUGAACGCUGGCGGCGUGCCUAACACAUGCAAGUCGAACGAAGCACCUUACCUGAUUCUUCGGAUGAAAGUUUGGUGACUGAGUGGCGGACGGGUGAGUAACGCGUGGGUAACCUGCCCUGUACAGGGGGAUAACAGCUGGAAACGGCUGCUAAUACCGCAUAAGCGCACGAGGAGACAUCUCCUUGUGUGAAAAACUCCGGUGGUACAGGAUGGGCCCGCGUCUGAUUAGCUGGUUGGCAGGGUAACGGCCUACCAAGGCAACGAUCAGUAGCCGGUCUGAGAGGAUGAACGGCCACAUUGGAACUGAGACACGGUCCAAACUCCUACGGGAGGCAGCAGUGGGGAAUAUUGCACAAUGGGGGAAACCCUGAUGCAGCAACGCCGCGUGAGUGAAGAAGUAUUGCGGUAUGUAAAGCUCUAUCAGCAGGGAAGAUAAUGACGGUACCUGACUAAGAAGCUCCGGCUAAAUACGUG
This 477-nucleotide ribosomal RNA is filed under the name uncultured bacterium. RNAcentral's name for it is "partial 16S ribosomal RNA". It matches the Rfam family "Bacterial small subunit ribosomal RNA", at positions 28 to 507 of the family's 1533-position model. The record is from RNAcentral.